Molecule: ribosomal RNA, 434 nt
Filed under: uncultured bacterium
Lineage: Bacteria
Description: bacterial SSU rRNA
Rfam family: Bacterial small subunit ribosomal RNA
Source: RNAcentral
AACGCGAAGAACCUUACCCAGGUUUGACAUGCACAGGACUGUCCGCGAAAGCGGUCUUCCCUUCGGGGUCUGUGCACAGAUGCUGCAUGGCUGUCGUCAGCUCGUGCCGUGAGGUGUUCGGUUAAGUCCGGCAACGAGCGCAACCCGUACCGUUAGUUACCAUCAGGUAAUGCUGGGGACUCUAGCGGGACUGCCCGUGUCAAGCGGGAGGAAGGCGCGGAUGACGUCAAGUCCGUAUGGCUCUUACGCCUGGGGCUGCAAACGUGCUACAAUGGCCGGUACAAUGGGAUGCUAGUCUGCAAAGGCAUGCGAAUCUUCAAAACCGGCCCCAGUUCGGAUCGUAGUCUGCAACUCGACUACGUGAAGUCGGAAUCGCUAGUAAAGGGACAUCAGCAACGGUCCCUUGAAUACGUUCCCGGGCCUUGUACACACCG